GGUCAAGCUACAAAGGGCGUACGGUGGAUGCCUUGGCGCUAAGAGGCGAUGAAGGACGUGGUAAGCUGCGAUAAGCUUCGGGGAGCCGCUAAACAGGCUUUGAUCCGGAGAUUUCCGAAUGGGGAAACCCGCCUGGGGUCAUGCCCAGGCAUCUCAGGUUGAAUACAUAGGCCUGAGAGGCUAACCGGGGGAACUGAAACAUCUAAGUACCCCGAGGAAGAGAAAGAAAUUCGAUUCCCUGAGUAGUGGCGAGCGAAACGGGAAAUAGCCCAAACCGGCGGUUAGUAAUAACUGUCGGGGUUGUAGGGUCUGCUCGGUUUAGAGCCGGAGAGUUACCAAUCAACGUGCUAAUUGAAAGGUCUGGAAAGGCCUGCCAUAGUAGGUGAUAGCCCUGUAAGUGAAAGCACGUUGACUCUCAGCAGAUACCUGAGUACCACGGGACACGAGAAAUCCUGUGGGAAUCCGGGAGGACCAUCUCCCAAGGCUAAAUACUACUUAGCGACCGAUAGUGAACAAGUACCGUGAGGGAAAGGUGAAAAGAACCCCGAUAAGGGGAGUGAAAUAGUACCUGAAACCGUAUGCCUACAAGCAGUGGUAGGGCUAUGACUAUUCGUAAGAAUAGUAAUGCCUGACCGCGUGCCUUUUGCAUAAUGAGUCAGCGAGUUACUGUACGUGGCAAGGUUAAGCCGUGAGGUGGAGCCGAAGCGAAAGCGAGUCUGAAUAGGGCGUUGAGUCGCGUGUAGUAGACCCGAAGCCGGGUGAUCUACCCAUGGCCAGGUUGAAAGUCCGGUAACACGGACUGGAGGACCGAACCAGUGUUGGUUGAAAACAACUUGGAUGAGCUGUGGGUAGGGGUGAAAGGCUAAUCAAACCCGGAGAUAGCUGGUUCUCUCCGAAAUAUAUUUAGGUAUAGCCUUGCAAAUUAAGUGGCGGAGGUAGAGCACUGAAUAGACUAGGGGUCCUACCAGAUUACCAAAUCUAAUCAAACUCCGAAUACCGUCAACUGUUAUUGCAGGAGUCAGACUACGGGUGCUAAGAUUCGUGGUCGAAAGGGAAACAGCCCAGACCGCCAGCUAAGGUCCCAAAAUAUGUGCUAAGUGGGAAAGGAUGUGGGGUUACUUAGACAACCAGGAGGUUGGCUUAGAAGCAGCCAUCCUUUAAAGAAAGCGUAAUAGCUCACUGGUCAAGUGAUCCUGCGCCGAAAAUAUAUCGGGGCUCAAGCACAUUACCGAAGCUGCGGGUAUACACGCAAGUGUAUGCGGUAGGAGAGCAUUCUGCUAACCUGUGAAGUCAGACCGAAAGGACUGGUGGAGGACGCAGAAGAGCUUAUGCUGACAUGAGUAGCGAAAAAACAGGCGAGAAACCUGUUCGCCGAAAAUCUUAGGUUUCCUGGGCAAGGUUAAUCCUCCCAGGGUUAGUCGGUCCCUUAGUCGAGGCCGAAAGGCGUAGAUGAUGGAAAACAGGCAAACAUUCCUGUACCACUGGAAGGCGUUUGAGCAAAGGGGGGACGCAGAAGGGCAGGAUCAUCCGGGUGAUGGACGUCCCGGUUCAAGUCCGUAGGGGGGCAGGAUAGGCAAAUCCGUUCUGCCAUUAACCCCGAGAGGCGAUGAGGAGGGAGAAAUCCCAUAAACUGACCGAUCCCAUGCUGCCAAGAAAAGCCUCUAGCGAGCUAUUCUGGUGACCGUACCGCAAACCGACUCAGGUAGAUGGGGUGAAAAUCCUAAGGCGCUUGAGAGAACCCUCCCUAAGGAACUCGGCCAAUUAGCCCCGUAACUUCGGGAAAAGGGGCGCCCCGGUAACGUGUAGGGAUUUACUCCUGAAGCGUGAUGGGGUCGCAGAUAAAUGGCUGUGGCGACUGUUUAACAAAAACACAGGUCUCUGCAAAGUCGAUAAGACGACGUAUAGAGGCUGAUGCCUGCCCGGUGCCGGAAGGUUAAAGGGACUUGUCAUCGCAAGAGAAGCAGGGAACUGAAGCCCCGGUAAACGGCGGCCGUAACUAUAACGGUCCUAAGGUAGCGAAAUUCCUUGUCGGGUAAGUUCCGACCUGCACGAAUGGCAUAACGAUCGCGGCACUGUCUCGGGGAGGGACUCAGCGAAAUUGAAAUAGCGGUGAAGAUGCCGUCUACCCGCACCAAGACGGAAAGACCCCGUGCACCUUUACUGUAGCUUGGCAGUGGAUUUCGGGACAAUUUGUGUAGCAUAGGUGGGAGGCUUUGAAGUCGGGCCGCUAGGUUCGGUGGAGCCACCGUUGAAAUACCACCCUGAUUGUCUUGAGGUUCUAACCUGGGCCCGUAAUCCGGGUCAGGGACAUUGCCUGGUGGGCAGUUUGACUGGGGCGGUCGCCUCCUAAAGAGUAACGGAGGCGCACGAAGGUUCCCUCAGGCUGAUUGGAAACCAGCCAUCGAGUGCAAAGGCAUAAGGGAGCUUGACUGCGAGACUGACACGUCAAGCAGGUACGAAAGUAGGUCUUAGUGAUCCGGUGGUUCUGUAUGGAAGGGCCAUCGCUCAACGGAUAAAAGGUACGCCGGGGAUAACAGGCUUAUCGCAUCCAAGAGUUCACAUCGACGAUGCGGUUUGGCACCUCGAUGUCGGCUCAUCGCAUCCUGGGGCUGAAGUAGGUCCCAAGGGUUUGGCUGUUCGCCAAUUAAAGCGGUACGCGAGCUGGGUUCAAAACGUCGUGAGACAGUUUGGUCCCUAUCUGGUGUGGGCGCAGGAUCUUUGAGGGGGGCUGACCUUAGUACGAGAGGACCGGGUUGGACGAACCGCUAGUGUUCCAGUUGUCUCGCCAGAGGCAAUGGCUGGGUAGCUAUGUUCGGAAGAGAUAACCGCUGAAAGCAUCUAAGUGGGAAACUCGCCCCAAGAUAAGAUAUCCCACCGGUUUAACCGGUCUAAAGGCCCGUCGUAGACUACGACGUUGAUAGGCCGGGUGUGUAAGCACUGCAAGGUGUUUAGCUGACCGGUACUAAUCGGCCGUGAGGCUUGACCAU
RNAcentral lists this ribosomal RNA (2987 nucleotides) under Deltaproteobacteria bacterium. RNAcentral's name for it is "23S ribosomal RNA". It matches the Rfam family "Bacterial large subunit ribosomal RNA". Lineage: Bacteria; Pseudomonadati; Myxococcota; Myxococcia. The record is from RNAcentral.